Small nuclear RNA from Dermacentor silvarum, 185 nucleotides. RefSeq annotates it as U2 spliceosomal RNA. The record is from RefSeq and is a predicted model, not a curated record. The transcript has a single exon. NCBI's taxonomy places the organism in Eukaryota, Metazoa, Arthropoda, Arachnida, Ixodida, Ixodidae.
AUGACCAGGCGCGGAUGAAAGGGUAGUAUCUGUUCUUAUCAGCUUAAUAUAUGUUACGGGUUGUAUUUGGACCCAAGAUAUUAAACUUAUUUUUGCAAGUUGGCGGGUUGCUUAAAGCCUGAUUCACCUCCGCCCCGGGUCGGCCCGGUAUUGCACCGCCUUCGGUAUUUUUGGAUCUACCGACA